RNAcentral lists this ribosomal RNA (305 nucleotides) under uncultured bacterium. RNAcentral's name for it is "bacterial SSU rRNA". It matches the Rfam family "Bacterial small subunit ribosomal RNA", at positions 334 to 655 of the family's 1533-position model. The record is from RNAcentral.
CAUGCCUACGGGAGGCAGCAGUCGGGAAUAUUGCGCAAUGGAGGAAACUCUGACGCAGUGACGCCGCGUAUAGGAAGAAGGUUUUCGGAUUGUAAACUAUUGUCGUUAGGGAAGAUAAAAGACUGUACCUAAGGAGGAAGCCCCGGCUAACUAUGUGCCAGCAGCCGCGGUAAUACAUAGGGGGCAAGCGUUAUCCGGAAUCACUGGGUGUAAAGGGAGCGUAGACGGCUGUGCAAGCCUGAAGUGAAAGGCGGGGGCCCAACCCCUGGACUGCUUUGGGAACUGUACGGCUGGAGUGCAGGAGG